ACCUGCGGAAGGAUCAUCA
Molecule: ribosomal RNA, 19 nt
Filed under: Dendronephthya castanea
Lineage: Eukaryota; Metazoa; Cnidaria; Anthozoa; Malacalcyonacea; Nephtheidae
Also listed under: 3 other names
Description: partial 18S ribosomal RNA
Source: RNAcentral